GCGCCUGUAGCUCAGCGGAUAGAGCGCUUGCCUCCGAAGCAAGAGGCCACUGGUUCGAUCCCAGUCAGGCGCAC
RNAcentral lists this transfer RNA (74 nucleotides) under Armatimonadota bacterium. Its description in RNAcentral is "tRNA-Arg". It matches the Rfam family "tRNA". Rfam says of the family: Transfer RNA (tRNA) molecules are approximately 80 nucleotides in length. Their secondary structure includes four short double-helical elements and three loops (D, anti-codon, and T loops). The record is from RNAcentral. Lineage: Bacteria; Bacillati; Armatimonadota.